This is a long non-coding RNA of Lepus europaeus (European hare), 1510 nucleotides long. RefSeq lists it as uncharacterized. The record is from RefSeq and is a predicted model, not a curated record. The transcript has 6 exons. Lineage: Eukaryota; Metazoa; Chordata; Mammalia; Lagomorpha; Leporidae.
CCCACACAGAAGGUCCCACCAAUGCUCCAGGAGUUUGCUAGGGACAGGGCAGCUGGCCACUCCACUGCAACAGGACAGCUCUUACGCUGACCUCUCUCUAGUCUGAGUGACUCAGAUGCCAGGGUGCUCUCCAGGUGACAAGGCCGUGCUGCACCCACAGCUCCGGCACAGCGCAUGGCGUCUGAGAAGCCUUUAGGAAAUGAGAUGCUAAUACUACGCUGCUGGCUCCAGGGGCCCUGCUUGGCCAGUGCCUUCACUCGCAGAUCCCACAGUGGCUCCUCAGCCUCCGUUUGGGAGCCUCAACGCGUAGCUGUCAGUACCUCCCACACAUGGUUUAUUUGGGCAUCUGAGGCCACUUGAUCUCAAUCAAUGCAGUUACUGCUAGGGGCAUUGUAACACAAAUCUCCAGCAGUGGAGCCACCAUGGCUUCCCCCGGCGCCCUUUGAAUACUUCCUGGGUACGGAGUUAAUCUACCCGACUGUCUUCUUCUCCAUGAAUCUGUGAGCUCUUUGAGGGGAGGGAUGGCAGCUUGUCCUCAUUUCCCCCAAAGAGUAUGAUGGCGAACAGUUUAUCACAUGAAUGCAUGGACCUUUGGAGAAGUCACACUUUUAUGUGUCUGAGGAGCUAAAUUUCUAAGUAAAGGAAACUCCAUGAUUCUCUCUCCCCACGCUGAGGAUCCCCUGGGGAAGCCAUGUGCCUGAACACGUACCACAUUCGUUCCAUGAAAAACCCCCAUCUCUCAAUGUGUUAUAGACCAGCUUCCAUGGGGUCCCAGAUCACAGCCUGCUGGCAAGGAAGCAUAGAAAAGAUCACCACAAAAAAGAAAGUGUUCAAAUUUAUCAAAACAAUCCAACCCCUCAAGGCUUUUCCCCUCUUGCACUCCAAAGAGGCAGACUUCACGUGAAUCAUCUUGUGUGAGGAUGAGAGCAUCAACCCUGGCAGCAGCAGCAGCAUUGACUGGGAAACCAGGUGAAGAAAUUGAAAUUUGCAGUAGUGAAGAUACCUGUUCAAACCCACACAGCCUGCGGGCAGGGUUGUCACAGAGAGACAUCCAAACCCAGCUCUUCUGAUUGUCGUUCUCGGGUCUUUUGUCCAGUCCAGUGCCCUCAGCAGUGGCCCUGGAGGGUGUGUGCAUUCACUGCCUCAGUACCGUCCAGCACUGUGAGUGACAGACGAGAUACUGGGAAGGGGCGGGCCCAGGGCUGUUCCAUGUAGAGCACUGGUGUGCGUAGAAGCCACCUGUGGGCAGCACAGAGACCAAACCAAGCUCAGGUUUGGCGGAAACCCGGCCUCUGCUCAACACAAGCCAAACGCCCCAUGCAGAGACCUCCCGGCACAAGUGGGUGCUGCUUCAUGUUUGACUCCAGCCGAUCCCUUCCAGGGGGGGAAGAAAGGCAGGUGCUGGGCACAAUUUGGGCUGCAUGUGGUUCUAAGGUUGGAGCAAGCUAGACACAUAGGGUCGUAUUUUCACUGGAGGCCAUCUUCUGGCUGGGCUACAUACUGGCCACUC